CCUACGGGAGGCAGCAGUGAGGAAUAUUGGUCAAUGGGCGAAAGCCUGAACCAGCCAAGUCGCGUGAGGGAUGAAGGUUCUAUGGAUCGUAAACCUCUUUUAUAAGGGAAUAAAGUGUGGGACGUGUCCUAUUUUGUAUGUACCUUAUGAAUAAGGAUCGGCUAACUCCGUGCCAGCAGCCGCGGUAAUACGGAGGAUCCGAGCGUUAUCCGGAUUUAUUGGGUUUAAAGGGUGCGUAGGCGGGCUUUUAAGUCAGCGGUGAAAGUCGGUGGCUCAACCAUCGAAUUGCUGUUGAAACUGGGGGGCUUGAGUAUGUUAGAGGCAGGCGGAAUGCGUGGUGUAGCGGUGAAAUGCUUAGAUAUCACGCAGAACCCCGAUUGCGAAGGCAGCCUGCCAAGCCAUGACUGACGCUGAUGCACGAAAGCGUGGGGAUCAAACAGGAUUAGAUACCCCUGUAGUC
This 460-nucleotide ribosomal RNA is filed under the name uncultured bacterium. Its description in RNAcentral is "partial 16S ribosomal RNA". It matches the Rfam family "Bacterial small subunit ribosomal RNA", at positions 338 to 795 of the family's 1533-position model. The record is from RNAcentral.